Molecule: long non-coding RNA, 147 nt
Organism: Mizuhopecten yessoensis (Yesso scallop)
Lineage: Eukaryota; Metazoa; Mollusca; Bivalvia; Pectinida; Pectinidae
Exons: 2
Source: RefSeq, a predicted model, not a curated record
CUCUUACUUUUUAAUUUGUUCACAGCCGGAGAAGGAAGUGCCCAACUCCCCAGUGGAGAUCCUGUUCCAGGCCAUGCUACCAAACCUCCCACAAUACAUGAUAGCUUUACUAAAGAUUUUACUGGCAGCCGCACCCACGUCAAAGAC